RNAcentral lists this small RNA (80 nucleotides) under Arabidopsis thaliana (thale cress). RNAcentral describes it as "ATSL053200". The record is from RNAcentral. Lineage: Eukaryota; Viridiplantae; Streptophyta; Magnoliopsida; Brassicales; Brassicaceae.
UCAUGAUGACGGGAACAGAGACAAGAUACUCCCUCGGAUUAUUCUCGAUACCAAAAGCAGGACACAUUGUGAGUUCACCA